Long non-coding RNA from Patiria miniata (bat star), 1345 nucleotides. RefSeq lists it as uncharacterized. NCBI's taxonomy places the organism in Eukaryota, Metazoa, Echinodermata, Asteroidea, Valvatida, Asterinidae. The record is from RefSeq and is a predicted model, not a curated record. The transcript has 6 exons.
CCGAUUUACUGGCCUGCCACCAUAGGGCCAGUUGCGCCGCGUGUAUGAUUGUGGUGUAGUUGAACAGCGCCCUCUAAUGUAUGUUUUGUUUUAGCACAGAACGCGUUGUCGAUGUUUUAGGCAAGCUCAUUUGUGUCAAAAUUUCUUGCUCAAUCAUCACAAUUUUGGCGCUGAGGACGAAAAGGAACUAACACAAAAACAUCCAGUGCUCCAUUGCAUCGCUGUGGAAAACGACUGACGGACAAAGUUUUUCCACUUUGAUGUCAAGAGCACAAGCAGUUGAUGCUUUCGAUGAGGCUGAUCUGGGGUGUGAAGGGCAUCACCUCAAACUCCCUUGACAACAAGAUGAGACCAUUCAAGGAACAUCGUUACGCUCUUGGCAGGAUUCUAUGUCAUCAAGAAGAGAUUGAAUGAAGAUCUUGAGAGAAUGUUGGCUGACAGACGAUAAGAAGUCAAGAAGAUGACAGUCUACACACCAAGUCAACUCAUCACCUUUAUUCCAUGGAGCCUUGCAUCAUUCACCUACCACCAUGCCAGUCCAGUCGCCAUGGCAACUAAACAGCCUCAAGCCCUGCCUCCAACAGCUAUUGGAUAAGAUCGGCAGAAGUGAGCGUAGUCAAGGGCAACACAAGACACCUGUCAGCUUUGUUGUUGUACCUGUCAGUGAUCUGGGUUACCCUGUUGGUUCACUAGGGAGUAGCAUCUGGGCUUAUACACCAGACACCUGUCAGCCGGUUUGGUGAGCAACAUGAGCCAAUGUCUGGCAUGCAUCAUAACAUGGCCAUGGGAGAUGGGGGAGGGGUGACAACUCACGGAAUGGCAGGAACGGUCUGAAACCCAGUAGCUACCAUGCAACUUCAUGGCACCAACCCAAAGGUGUGGGGAGCAUUAAGGGAACUGGUCAUGUGACAUGAGGACACCUCUCCAUCCAUACCUACAGAGGGCGCUGUUCAUCACAUUCGCAGCAUCCACGAGAGAUAGUUAAGUUAAUACAUUUUUCAUACAUGUAGAUGUCCAGCACCCAUAGAGGGCGCCAUAAUGCUAUCUGGUUUGUUCACAGACAUAUUGACACAUACAUGUAGAUUGCCAGUUGUGUGCUUGAAACUGUGAUUUGAUAAAGUACCGCACAAAUUUAAUGUAUGGGCAAAACGUGACAUUUGUUGACAGCGCGCAAAAAUGCUGUUUGGGUUCAAUGUGCCGACGCGCCUAGAACGCUACAUAAAAUAGCUGUAUUACUCAAAAUUUUCAUAAAAGUGUCGGGUAACGUAUUGGUUUAAGUCUACAUGUGGUAAAUCAUAUACUCAAGGGAAUCAUUUUUACAAUAAAAAAAAUUUACUUCAUUGAA